UCGGGAAUAUUGCGCAAUGGAGGAAACUCUGACGCAGUGACGCCGCGUGCAGGAAGAAGGUUUUAGGAUUGUAAACUGCUUUAGACAGGGAAGAAAAAAAUGACAGUACCUGUAGAAUAAGCUCCGGCUAACUACGUGCCAGCAGCCGCGGUAAUACGUAGGGAGCGAGCGUUAUCCGGAAUUAUUGGGUGUAAAGGGUGCGUAGACGGGAAUGUAAGUUAGUUGUGAAAUCCCUCGGCUUAACUGAGGAACUGCAACUAAAACUACAUUUCUUGAGUGCAGGAGAGGAAAGUGGAAUUCCUAGUGUAGCGGUGAAAUGCAUAGAUAUAACUUAGAACUCCGAUAGCGAAGGCAGCUUACCAGACUGUAACUGACGCUGAUGCACGAGAGCGUGGGUAGCGAACA
RNAcentral lists this ribosomal RNA (405 nucleotides) under uncultured bacterium. Its description in RNAcentral is "bacterial SSU rRNA". It matches the Rfam family "Bacterial small subunit ribosomal RNA", at positions 355 to 774 of the family's 1533-position model. The record is from RNAcentral.